GACGAACGCUGGCGGCGUGCUUAACACAUGCAAGUCGAGCGGUAAGGCCCUUUCGGGGGUACACGAGCGGCGAACGGGUGAGUAACACGUGGGUGACCUGCCCUCAGCUCUGGGAUAAGCCUGGGAAACCGGGUCUAAUACCGGAUAUGACUCCAUGACGCAUGUUGUGGGGUGGAAAGCCUUGUGCGGCUGAGGAUGGCCCGCGGCCUAUCAGCUUGUUGGUGGGGUGAUGGCCUACCAAGGCGACGACGGGUAGCCGGCCUGAGAGGGCGACCGGCCACACUGGGACUGAGACACGGCCCAGACUCCUACGGGAGGCAGCAGUGGGGAAUCUUGCGCAAUGGGCGAAAGCCUGACGCAGCGACGCCGCGUGAGGGAUGACGGGCC
This 387-nucleotide ribosomal RNA is filed under the name uncultured bacterium. RNAcentral's name for it is "bacterial SSU rRNA". It matches the Rfam family "Bacterial small subunit ribosomal RNA", at positions 28 to 417 of the family's 1533-position model. The record is from RNAcentral.